Molecule: non-coding RNA, 45 nt
Filed under: Schistosoma curassoni
Lineage: Eukaryota; Metazoa; Platyhelminthes; Trematoda; Strigeidida; Schistosomatidae
Source: RNAcentral
AUUCAACUGAUGAGUCCCAAAUAGGACAAAACGCACGUUAUGAAU